AGAGUUUGAUCAUGGCUCAGAAUCAACGCUGGCGGCGUGCCUAACACAUGCAAGUCGCACGAGAAAGGGUAGCAAUACCUGAGUACAGUGGCGCACGGGUGAGUAACACGUGAAUUAUCUACCUUCGAGUGGGGAAUAACUGGGAGAAAUCUCAGCUAAUACCGCAUAACACCUACGGGUCAAAGCAGCAAUGCGCUUGAAGAGGAGUUCGCGGCAGAUUAGUUAGUUGGCGGGGUAAUGGCCCACCAAGACGAUGAUCUGUAUCCGGCCUGAGAGGGCGCACGGACACACUGGAACUGAAACACGGUCCAGACUCCUACGGGAGGCAGCAGUGGGGAAUUUUGCGCAAUGGGGGAAACCCUGACGCAGCAACGCCGCGUGGAGGAUGAAAUCCCUUGGGAUGUAAACUCCUUUCGAUCGGGACGAUUAUGACGGUACCGGAAGAAGAAGCCCCGGCUAACUUCGUGCCAGCAGCCGCGGUAAUACGAGGGGGGCAAGCGUUGUUCGGAAUUAUUGGGCGUAAAGGGCGCGUAGGCGGUUUGACAAGUCUGAUGUGAAAUCUCUGGGCUCAACCCAGAGUCUGCAUUAGAAACUGUCGGGCUUGAGUAUGGGAGAGGUGAGUGGAAUUUCCGGUGUAGCGGUGAAAUGCGUAGAUAUCGGAAGGAACACCUGUGGCGAAAGCGGCUCACUGGACCAUAACUGACGCUGAGGCGCGAAAGCUAGGGGAGCAAACAGGAUUAGAUACCCUAGUAGUCC
RNAcentral lists this ribosomal RNA (756 nucleotides) under uncultured bacterium. Its description in RNAcentral is "bacterial SSU rRNA". It matches the Rfam family "Bacterial small subunit ribosomal RNA", at positions 8 to 796 of the family's 1533-position model. The record is from RNAcentral.